CCCGUAUCAGGGGGGAUAAUCCAUGGAAACGUGGUCUAAUACCCCAUAGUAAUUAUGUAAGGCAUCUUAUAUAAGUUUAAAGCUUUGGUGGAUACGGAUUGGCUCGCGUGACAUUAGCUGGAUGGUAAGGUAACGGCUUACCAUGGCUACGAUGUCUAGGGGUUCUGAGAGGAAGGUCCCCCACACUGGAACUGAGACACGGUCCAGACUCCUACGGGAGGCAGCAGUGAGGAAUAUUGGACAAUGGAUGGAAAUCUGAUCCAGCCAUGCCGCGUGCAAGGAAGACGGCCCUAUGGGUUGUAAACUGCUUUUGUAUGGGAGCAAUAAGGGCUACGUGUAGUCCGAUGAGAGUACCAUACGAAUAAGCACCGGCUAACUCCGUGCCAGCCGCUGC
This 394-nucleotide ribosomal RNA is filed under the name uncultured bacterium. RNAcentral's name for it is "bacterial SSU rRNA". It matches the Rfam family "Bacterial small subunit ribosomal RNA", at positions 129 to 518 of the family's 1533-position model. The record is from RNAcentral.